Molecule: ribosomal RNA, 472 nt
Filed under: uncultured bacterium
Lineage: Bacteria
Description: partial 16S ribosomal RNA
Rfam family: Bacterial small subunit ribosomal RNA
Source: RNAcentral
AAUGAACGUUGGUGGCAUGGAUUAGGCAUGCAAGUCGAGCGAGAAGGGUUUUGAAGCUUGCUUUGAAACCCGGAAAGCGGCGCAAGGGAGAGUAACGAGUAGUUAUCUACCCCAAGGCCCGGAAUAGCUGCGGGAAACUGCAGGUAAUGCCGGAUAAUAUCCCCGGAUCAAAGGUGUGAUUCCGCCUUGGGAGGAGACUGCUUUGUACUAGCUAGUUGGUAGGGUAAUGGCCUACCAAGGCUACGAUGCAUAGCGGGCGUGAGAGCGUGGCCCGUCUCACUGGGGCUGAAACACUGCCCAGACACCUACGGGUGGCUGCAGUCGAGAAUCUUCGGUAAUGGGCGAAAGCCUGACCGAGCGAUGCCGCGUGCGGGAUGAAGGCCCUCGGGUUGUAAACCGCUGUCGUAGAGGAGAAAGGUCUGGUGAAGAAUCAGAUUUGAUCUAUUCUAGGAGGAAGUCCGGGCUAAGUUCG